GGGACUGCGGCCCUUUGGAGGCCGUGCGCCCGAGGCCGCCGCCGGCCCUAGGGGUGCCGUGGGCCCUCCGUGCCCGUUCUUCGGUCUGUCGUUGGGCUGUGUUUUACCGGAAGGGCCUGUGUGGGUUGGGAAGGGUUGCCGAGAACCAUGUUGCUAAGAACCAAACACUCGUGAUUCUGGGAGGCGGUUGUUGGUGGUGUGACACCUCUCAGAGCCACGGGGCGGAAACGCGGCCUCGCCAGAUGCCAGCCCAAAGCUGCAUUUCCGGUCCGGGGGCGCGGUCAGCUCCGCCUGCAGACCUGUCUUUCUGCCCCCCUGACCUCGCCCCCACGGGAACUCUGUAGCCUUCUUAUUUCUGGUGCAGACGGUUGCCAGGCCUCCCUCUCCCCCUGCAGUGCGGCUCUCCACCUUCUCUGAAGCCGGAGGAGCAAAACACUCCGUAGACAUCACAGAAGGAUCCCAUUUCCACCGCAGUCCCACGCGGAGCUCGGUGCCAGGCCGGGCCUUCCCUGGAUUCUGGCUGUCCAUCACAGGCGGGCGGCAUUACUUCUGAGUCUCAGGGUUCUUCAGUGUCUUCUGGUGGCAAACUGGUUUUGAGCUUCUUUGGUGAAAGUUACUGAAUAAAUACCAAGUGUGAUUUCGAAAUACCGAAAAUCUUGGUCGGACUUAAACAGAUAAGCAACAAGGACCCUUAAAGCCAUCACUCCCUGUGGAAUGGGAGCUUAGCUAGAAAGGAAAGUCUGUUAAUGAGUUGUGUUUCCUCCUCAGCAUCACAGAUAUCACCUUUGGUAGCAGAGCCCUUCAUGACGGCCGCCUAGGUUUUCUGAGCUCACAGCCUGGAAGAUCAUUGGCAGUUGCAUGGAGAAAGAACAUUACUUAGUCACUAUUGAACAUGAACAACAUCAAGCUACCAGAACUAUUUGAUGACGGUUCCAAAUGCAUGUACAGUAGACACUGCAGCGGGGAUGGCCGGAGCCAGGCAGGCCUGGGUGCAGUCUGCAUUGAAUGCUGUGACAGCAACUUUGCAGAGUGCCCUCUCGCACUCCGGGACCCCUCGGGGAUGUCAGAGAGCUGGUUUUGGCCCGAGCCCCACAGGCCAGGUCGAGAGACUCCACCUGCCAGAGGGACCCCGCUCACUCCACAGACGCCUUUUGAGCCACGGCGCCAUCCCAGGUGCAGCCGGCCAGGGAGGGAUCUCAGGAGGUUGGCUCCAGGGCGUGUCCGGCCCGUCUCGCCCAGUCCCACCCCACUGACCACCUUCUAAUUAAUUUCCUUUCAAUGUGCACGAAUCCGUCACCAGUUCUAUCAUAAACACCCUAGGCAAGACAAAGGCUGGGUGUUUGUGCCAAAAGAAAUGCACACCGUGGAAUGAACACCCGACAGUCAUUUCAGAGGUGCGUCUGAGCUAGGGAAGCCCUGGAUACUGAUUCUUCAAGAAUGGCUGCAUCCAAAGACUGCAACUCCAAAUCCAUAGGAAUGGAAUACGGAGAUGUUCCCUGCCAUUAGCUGUGUCUUGCAUUACGGAAUCUUAGUUAUUUCCUUGACGGUAAAGCUAAGGAAUUACAUCACAUUGGGUGGAUCUGGGCAGGAUGGUUCAUGAUAGUAGAAUCUUUAGCAGGAAUCCUAAAAAUGCGGGAAAUGCAAGAUAACCUCUUCUGUGGCUAAAAUCAGCAAUUAUUAUGGACAUACAUAUAGUUUUUGGUUCCAAGGUCACUUCAAAGGACAGAGGUCAGUGACUGACAUAUUGUGGUGUUGUCGUGGGACUUUUGGCUAAAGGGAGAUAGAGAGCUAGGUAUAUACAUACAAAAAUGCAUGCAUACAUGAAAGAUGGGGCAGCUUCACCAGCUGAAAGGAAAGCCUGUUAGGCCCUGGCCGGCGUGGCUCGGUUGGGUAUCGUCCUGUGCACUGAAAGGUUGGCGGUUCGAUUCCCAGUCAGGGCACAUGCCCAGGUUGCUGGCUCGAUCCCUGGUAGGGGGCAUGCAGGAGGCAACCAAUAAUGUUUCACUCUUUCCCAUCAAUGUUUCUCUCCCUCUUUCUUCGUCUCUUAAAUAAAAAAUAAAAGAAAAGCCUGUUAGGAAGGAACUGGUUCACACAAAGAGGAAUAGGUGGUCGAGAUGGGUAGACCUUAAACCUCUGGCGGUUGUCUAGAGGUUUCCCAGGCAUUGUCCAAGGACGAGAAGCUUCCCAGGGGGAGCCAGUGGCAUUCAUCCUAGACCGGCCACAUGGCAACUCCUGGCCAGUAGAAGUGUUCCCAUCAGAGGAAUUAUUCAAGUAAGGUAUUUCAAUCUAGGUAUUCAGGACUGAAAUUUCUGGUGAUAAGGUGAACAAUUGAAAUUGAAAACAAUCUCACUACAAAACACCUAAAAAUGCUGGAUAAAAUAUAUCAAACUUAUCUUUAAAUGCAUAUAGAAACUCAGUAACCUCGCAUUGGGGAAUAUAGAUUAUUGGCAUUUGGGGAUUUUAGGAAGUCCUUUAUAUCUGUAAAUAAAGUUUGUCAGUGAAAAGUGAAAGACAAAUCAGAAUU
Long non-coding RNA from Eptesicus fuscus (big brown bat), 2524 nucleotides. RefSeq lists it as uncharacterized. The record is from RefSeq and is a predicted model, not a curated record. The transcript has 3 exons. NCBI's taxonomy places the organism in Eukaryota, Metazoa, Chordata, Mammalia, Chiroptera, Vespertilionidae.